GUACUCCCCAGGCGGGGUACUUAUUGCGUUAACUCCGGCACAGAAGGGGUCGAUACCUCCUACACCUAGUACCCAUCGUUUACGGCCAGGAUUACCGGGGUAUCUAAUCCCGUUCACUCCCCUGGCUUUCGCGCCUCAGCGUCAGACACAGUCCAGAAAGUCGCCUUCGCCACUGGUGUUCCUCCUAAUAUCUACGCAUUUCACCGCUACACUAGGAAUUCCACUUUCCUCUCCUGCACUCAAGAAAUGUAGUUUCCAUCCCAUCACGGGGUUGAGCCCCGAACUUUUAAGACAGACUUACAUUCCCGCCUGCGCGCGCUUUACGCCCAAUAAUUCCGGACAACGCUUGCCACCUACGUAUUACCGCGGCUGCUGGCACGUAGUUAGCCGUGGCUUCCUCCUCAGGUACCGUCAUUACUUAACAUUAUUCACAUUAAGCACAUUCGUCCCUGAAGACAGAGCUUUACGAUCCGAAAACCUUCUUCACUCACGCGGCGUUGCUCCGUCAGACUUUCGUC
Molecule: ribosomal RNA, 518 nt
Filed under: uncultured bacterium
Lineage: Bacteria
Description: partial 16S rRNA
Source: RNAcentral